Molecule: ribosomal RNA, 484 nt
Filed under: uncultured bacterium
Lineage: Bacteria
Description: partial 16S ribosomal RNA
Rfam family: Bacterial small subunit ribosomal RNA
Source: RNAcentral
AUUGAACGCUAGCGGGAUGCUUUACACAUGCAAGUCGAACGGCAGCGCGGACUUCGGUCUGGCGGCGAGUGGCGAACGGGUGAGAAAUGUAUCGGAACGUGCCCAGUAGCGGGGGAUAACUACGCGAAAGCGUAGCUAAUACCGCAUACGCCCUACGGGGGAAAGCAGGGGAUCGUAAGACCUUGCACUAUUGGAGCGGCCGAUAUCGGAUUAGCUAGUUGGUGAGGUAACGGCUCACCAAGGCGACGAUCCGUAGCUGGUUUGAGAGGACGACCAGCCACACUGGGACUGAGACACGGCCCAGACUCCUACGGGAGGCAGCAGUGGGGAAUUUUGGACAAUGGGGGCAACCCUGAUCCAGCCAUCCCGCGUGUGCGAUGAAGGCCUUCGGGUUGUAAAGCACUUUUGGCAGGAAAGAAACGUCGCGGGCUAAUACCCCGUGGAACUGACGGUACCUGCAGAAUAAGCACCGGCUAACUACGUG